Molecule: ribosomal RNA, 2696 nt
Filed under: Salmonella enterica subsp. enterica serovar Agona
Lineage: Bacteria; Pseudomonadati; Pseudomonadota; Gammaproteobacteria; Enterobacterales; Enterobacteriaceae
Description: partial 23S ribosomal RNA
Rfam family: Bacterial large subunit ribosomal RNA
Source: RNAcentral
GGGUGACAGCCCCGUACACAAAAGCGCAUGUGCUGUGAGCUCGAUGAGUAGGGCGGGACACGUGGUAUCCUGUCUGAAUAUGGGGGGACCAUCCUCCAAGGCUAAAUACUCCUGACUGACCGAUAGUGAACCAGUACCGUGAGGGAAAGGCGAAAAGAACCCCGGCGAGGGGAGUGAAAAAGAACCUGAAACCGUGUACGUACAAGCAGUGGGAGCCCCACCACCAAAGCAUUCUCUGGUGUUGAAGGCCCUGCAAAGCAGCAUCGCGGUGGCGGAGCGUCGUUUGCGACGCCCAACACACAAAACAAGCGGUGAGUGCUUUGGGGUGGGGUGACUGCGUACCUUUUGUAUAAUGGGUCAGCGACUUAUAUUCUGUAGCAAGGUUAACCGCAUAGGGGAGCCGGAGGGAAACCGAGUCUUAAUUGGGCGUUAAGUUGCAGGGUAUAGACCCGAAACCCGGUGAUCUAGCCAUGGGCAGGUUGAAGGUUGGGUAACACUAACUGGAGGACCGAACCGACUAAUGUUGAAAAAUUAGCGGAUGACCUGUGGCUGGGGGUGAAAGGCCAAUCAAACCGGGAGAUAGCUGGUUCUCCCCGAAAGCUAUUUAGGUAGCGCCUCGUGAAUUCAUCUCCGGGGGUAGAGCACUGUUUCGGCUAGGGGGCCAUCCCGGCUUACCAACCCGAUGCAAACUGCGAAUACCGGAGAAUGUUAUCACGGGAGACACACGGCGGGUGCUAACGUCCGUCGUGAAGAGGGAAACAACCCAGACCGCCAGCUAAGGUCCCAAAGUCAUGGUUAAGUGGGAAACGAUGUGGGAAGGCCCAGACAGCCAGGAUGUUGGCUUAGAAGCAGCCAUCAUUUAAAGAAAGCGUAAUAGCUCACUGGUCGAGUCGGCCUGCGCGGAAGAUGUAACGGGGCUAAACCAUGCACCGAAGCUGCGGCAGCGACACUCAGGUGUUGUUGGGUAGGGGAGCGUUCUGUAAGCCUGUGAAGGUGGCCUGUGAGGGUUGCUGGAGGUAUCAGAAGUGCGAAUGCUGACAUAAGUAACGAUAAAGCGGGUGAAAAGCCCGCUCGCCGGAAGACCAAGGGUUCCUGUCCAACGUUAAUCGGGGCAGGGUGAGUCGACCCCUAAGGCGAGGCCGAAAGGCGUAGUCGAUGGGAAACGGGUUAAUAUUCCCGUACUUGGUGUUACUGCGAAGGGGGGACGGAGAAGGCUAUGUUGGCCGGGCGACGGUUGUCCCGGUUUAAGCGUGUAGGUGUGUGUUCCAGGUAAAUCCGGUUCACUUUAACACUGAGGCGUGACGACGAGGCACUACGGUGCUGAAGCAACAAAUGCCCUGCUUCCAGGAAAAGCCUCUAAGCAUCAGGUAACAUCAAAUCGUACCCCAAACCGACACAGGUGGUCAGGUAGAGAAUACCAAGGCGCUUGAGAGAACUCGGGUGAAGGAACUAGGCAAAAUGGUGCCGUAACUUCGGGAGAAGGCACGCUGACACGUAGGUGAAGUGAUUUACUCAUGGAGCUGAAGUCAGUCGAAGAUACCAGCUGGCUGCAACUGUUUAUUAAAAACACAGCACUGUGCAAACACGAAAGUGGACGUAUACGGUGUGACGCCUGCCCGGUGCCGGAAGGUUAAUUGAUGGGGUCAGCGCAAGCGAAGCUCCUGAUCGAAGCCCCGGUAAACGGCGGCCGUAACUAUAACGGUCCUAAGGUAGCGAAAUUCCUUGUCGGGUAAGUUCCGACCUGCACGAAUGGCGUAAUGAUGGCCAGGCUGUCUCCACCCGAGACUCAGUGAAAUUGAACUCGCUGUGAAGAUGCAGUGUACCCGCGGCAAGACGGAAAGACCCCGUGAACCUUUACUAUAGCUUGACACUGAACAUUGAGCCUUGAUGUGUAGGAUAGGUGGGAGGCUUUGAAGUGUGGACGCCAGUCUGCAUGGAGCCGACCUUGAAAUACCACCCUUUAAUGUUUGAUGUUCUAACGUGGACCCGUAAUCCGGGUUGCGGACAGUGUCUGGUGGGUAGUUUGACUGGGGCGGUCUCCUCCUAAAGAGUAACGGAGGAGCACGAAGGUUGGCUAAUCCUGGUCGGACAUCAGGAGGUUAGUGCAAUGGCAUAAGCCAGCUUGACUGCGAGCGUGACGGCGCGAGCAGGUGCGAAAGCAGGUCAUAGUGAUCCGGUGGUUCUGAAUGGAAGGGCCAUCGCUCAACGGAUAAAAGGUACUCCGGGGAUAACAGGCUGAUACCGCCCAAGAGUUCAUAUCGACGGCGGUGUUUGGCACCUCGAUGUCGGCUCAUCACAUCCUGGGGCUGAAGUAGGUCCCAAGGGUAUGGCUGUUCGCCAUUUAAAGUGGUACGCGAGCUGGGUUUAGAACGUCGUGAGACAGUUCGGUCCCUAUCUGCCGUGGGCGCUGGAGAACUGAGGGGGGCUGCUCCUAGUACGAGAGGACCGGAGUGGACGCAUCACUGGUGUUCGGGUUGUCAUGCCAAUGGCACUGCCCGGUAGCUAAAUGCGGAAGAGAUAAGUGCUGAAAGCAUCUAAGCACGAAACUUGCCCCGAGAUGAGUUCUCCCUGAGACUUAGAGUCUCCUGAAGGAACGUUGAAGACGACGACGUUGAUAGGCCGGGUGUGUAAGCGCAGCGAUGCGUUGAGCUAACCGGUACUAAUGAACCGUGAGGCUUAACCUUACAACGCCGAAG